Rattus norvegicus (Norway rat) is the source of this 69-nucleotide non-coding RNA. NCBI's taxonomy places the organism in Eukaryota, Metazoa, Chordata, Mammalia, Rodentia, Muridae. The record is from Rfam.
GGGGAUUUAGCUCAGUGGUAGAGCGCUUGCCUAGGAAGCGCCAGGCCCUGGGUUCGGUCCCCAGCUCCA